RNAcentral lists this ribosomal RNA (253 nucleotides) under uncultured bacterium. RNAcentral's name for it is "partial 16S ribosomal RNA". It matches the Rfam family "Bacterial small subunit ribosomal RNA", at positions 524 to 776 of the family's 1533-position model. The record is from RNAcentral.
UACGUAGGCAGCAAGCGUUGUUCGGAGUUACUGGGCGUAAAGAGUGCGUAGGCGGUUUCGUAAGUUUGGUGUGAAAUCUCCCGGCUUAACUGGGAGGGUGCGCCGAAAACUGCGGGGCUGGAGUAUGGGAGAGGUAAGCGGAAUUCCUGGUGUAGCGGUGAAAUGCGCAGAUAUCAGGAGGAACACCGAUGGCGAAGGCAGGUCUCUGGGCAUUAACUGACGCUGAGGAGCGAAAGCAUGGGGAGCGAACAGG